GAUGCACGUUCUUAUAGAAAUCUCAUCUGGUUGGCCUGAAUCCACAACUCGGGAACUCUUGACUCGUGAGAUAGUUGCCAAGGUUAAAAAAAAUCCAUUUCUUUCAGGAGUUCCAGCCAAUACCAUGUGUUUCUGCUGAAAUCCACCAUUGCAGUUAGAGGAGAAAAGAGAAGUCCUCGCUCAUCCCAUUAGAACUACAAGGCUAGAAAGUAGCAGAAAAGAGUCCCAAGGGCAAAGCCAGUCUUUUAUAAUCCAGUCCAUCUUCCUGCGCCUUAGUUAUCAAUUCUCUCUGACACAGCUCCAGUCUCUGGGAACCAACAGGAGUUCAGUGUGUCCUUCCAGCAAGGGACCCACAUGCCCGCCUCCAUGGGAGAUUCCUCUUUCUGGCAAAGAUAUUCCUCCAAAGAGCAAGUUUCUAAGGGAAUCUAAUGGCGAUCAAGAAGCAGAAGAAUUGGAAAAUUACCAGGAAAGGAAGAAACCCUUCCUUCUGCUACCCUAACUGGGACCUUAUGCCAACCUCAGAUGUGACUCCUCAAUCCCACCCUGAUCUCACCUUGCAGAGUCUGAAAUGCUGAGCUGGAAGGACCUAAAAGAUCAUCUAGUCCAUGGACCUUCUUGUGGAUGCUGGGAUUUUACUUGAAUGAAUUCAUGGAAGAGAUAUAUACACAAGGGCAUGAUUGACUGGUAACGAUUCAUCUAAAGAGGGUCCUGUCAAACACAGCUCCCGUGGGACUGAUGCCCAGGAAUGGAACAAGACAGAUACUUCCCAGACUAUUCUGAACAGAGUCCCUCUCCCUACCUUGUCCAAGCCCUGAGGAAGCUUUUACCAUAUACCCAAUACAUCUUUUACUUAUUCCCUAGAGCACCUAUUGCUCUGAGGAUUCAUGAAUGGAGGGAGCAGGGAAUAAAAGAUGAUACAGCCCAGGGAAACUGAGGGUAAAGUUCAGACUCUUUAUUUCCCCUGUGACUGAGCAUGGUGCUUUAUACAUAAUCAAGGGGCUUCUAGCCUCACACCUAACACAAAUUCAUUGUAUGACCUCUCAGAAAGGGACCCAUUUUCUUCAUCUUUAAAAUGGAGAUUUUACUUGUACUACCUACUUUACUGGAUUAUUGUAAGGAUAAAUGUUAUAUAAAGGAGUUGAAUUAGAUGACCACUUGGAACUCUGCCAGUUAUGAAUACCAUGAAGAUAUCAAAUGAGAAUAAAUGUAUAGAAAAUUU
This is a long non-coding RNA of Monodelphis domestica (gray short-tailed opossum), 1219 nucleotides long. RefSeq lists it as uncharacterized. The record is from RefSeq and is a predicted model, not a curated record. Lineage: Eukaryota; Metazoa; Chordata; Mammalia; Didelphimorphia; Didelphidae.